GUUGGCUACGGGGACAUGCAUCCUCAAACAUCGUUGGGAAAAUUUGUUGGAUGCGUUUGCGCUAUAGCCGGAGUUCUUGCAAUUGCUCUACCAGUUCCUGUUAUAGUUUCGAAU
This is a non-coding RNA of Mesocestoides corti, 114 nucleotides long. The record is from Rfam. Lineage: Eukaryota; Metazoa; Platyhelminthes; Cestoda; Cyclophyllidea; Mesocestoididae.